Molecule: ribosomal RNA, 253 nt
Filed under: uncultured Ruminococcus sp.
Lineage: Bacteria; Bacillati; Bacillota; Clostridia; Eubacteriales; Oscillospiraceae
Description: partial 16S ribosomal RNA
Rfam family: Bacterial small subunit ribosomal RNA
Source: RNAcentral
UACGUAGGGAGCAAGCGUUGUCCGGAUUUACUGGGUGUAAAGGGUGCGUAGGCGGCUUAGCAAGUCAGAAGUGAAAUCCAUGGGCUUAACCCAUGAACUGCUUUUGAAACUGCUAAGCUUGAGUGGAGUAGAGGUAGGCGGAAUUCCAGGUGUAGGAGUGAAAUCCGUAGAUAUCUGGAGGAACAUCAGUGGCGAAGGCGGCCACCUGGACCGGUAUUGACGCUGAGGCGCGAAAGCGUGGGGAGCAAACAGG